This 382-nucleotide ribosomal RNA is filed under the name uncultured bacterium. Its description in RNAcentral is "bacterial SSU rRNA". It matches the Rfam family "Bacterial small subunit ribosomal RNA", at positions 524 to 906 of the family's 1533-position model. The record is from RNAcentral.
UACGAAGGGGGCUAGCGUUGUUCGGAAUUACUGGGCGUAAAGCGCGCGCAGGCGGCCCUUCAAGUCAGGGGUGAAAGCCCGGAGCUCAACUCCGGAAUUGCCUUUGAAACUGUCAGGCUGGAGUACGGGAGAGGUGAGUGGAAUUCCCAGUGUAGAGGUGAAAUUCGUAGAUAUUGGGAAGAACACCGGUGGCGAAGGCGGCUCACUGGCCCGUAACUGACGCUCAAGCGCGACAGCGUGGGGAUCAAACAGGAUUAGAUACCCUGGUAGUCCACGCCGUAAACGAUGGACGCUAGCCGUUGGCAAGCUUGCUUGUCAGUGGCGCAGCUAACGCAUUAAGCGUCCCGCCUGGGGAGUACGGCCGCAAGGUUGAAACUCAAAG